This 565-nucleotide ribosomal RNA is filed under the name Limosilactobacillus reuteri. RNAcentral describes it as "bacterial SSU rRNA". It matches the Rfam family "Bacterial small subunit ribosomal RNA", at positions 337 to 894 of the family's 1533-position model. The record is from RNAcentral. Lineage: Bacteria; Bacillati; Bacillota; Bacilli; Lactobacillales; Lactobacillaceae.
CCUUCCGGGGGGACAGCAGUAGGGAAUCUUCCACAAUGGGCGCAAGCCUGAUGGAGCAACACCGCGUGAGUGAAGAAGGGUUUCGGCUCGUAAAGCUCUGUUGUUGGAGAAGAACGUGCGUGAGAGUAACUGUUCACGCAGUGACGGUAUCCAACCAGAAAGUCACGGCUAACUACGUGCCAGCAGCCGCGGUAAUACGUAGGUGGCAAGCGUUAUCCGGAUUUAUUGGGCGUAAAGCGAGCGCAGGCGGUUGCUUAGGUCUGAUGUGAAAGCCUUCGGCUUAACCGAAGAAGUGCAUCGGAAACCGGGCGACUUGAGUGCAGAAGAGGACAGUGGAACUCCAUGUGUAGCGGUGGAAUGCGUAGAUAUAUGGAAGAACACCAGUGGCGAAGGCGGCUGUCUGGUCUGCAACUGACGCUGAGGCUCGAAAGCAUGGGUAGCGAACAGGAUUAGAUACCCUGGUAGUCCAUGCCGUAAACGAUGAGUGCUAGGUGUUGGAGGGUUUCCGCCCUUCAGUGCCGGAGCUAACGCAUAAGCACUCCGCCUGGGAUAACACCCGCAUGGG